AUUGAACGCUGGCGGCAUGCCUUACACAUGCAAGUCGAACGGUAGCACAGCAACAGCUUGUUCCUAGGGGCGGAGAGUGGAGGACGAGUGAGGAAUACACCCGAACGUACUUUUUCGCGGGGGAUAACGUUGGCAAAUACCCCCUACUAUCUCAUACGAACUACGGGUGAAAGUAGGGGCUCUUCGGAACUUGCGCGCUGGAAUGAGCCGAUGUCGGAUUAGCUAGUUGGCGGGGUAAAGGCCCACCAAGGCGACGAUCCGUAGCUGGUCUGAGAGGAUGAUCAGCCACACUGGAACUGAGACACGGUCCAGACUCCUACGGGAGGCAGCAGUGGGGAAUAUUGGACAAUGGGCGCAAGCCUGAUCCAGCCAUACCGCGUGGGUGAAGAAGGCCUUCGGGUUGUAAAGCCCUUUUGUUGGGAAAGAAAAGCAGCAGGUUAAUACCCCGCUGUUCUGACGGUACCCAAAGAAUAAGCACCGGCUAACUUCGUG
This 492-nucleotide ribosomal RNA is filed under the name uncultured bacterium. RNAcentral describes it as "partial 16S ribosomal RNA". It matches the Rfam family "Bacterial small subunit ribosomal RNA", at positions 30 to 507 of the family's 1533-position model. The record is from RNAcentral.